Molecule: transfer RNA, 59 nt
Filed under: Dipodomys ordii (Ord's kangaroo rat)
Lineage: Eukaryota; Metazoa; Chordata; Mammalia; Rodentia; Heteromyidae
Rfam family: tRNA
About the family: Transfer RNA (tRNA) molecules are approximately 80 nucleotides in length. Their secondary structure includes four short double-helical elements and three loops (D, anti-codon, and T loops).
Source: Rfam by way of RNAcentral
GUGGCUCAGUGGUAGAGUACUUGCCUUGCAUGCAUGAGGCCCUGGGUGUGAUUCUCAGC